GAUUCCAACAUUUCCCUUGAGCCAUCACACACAUUUUUGGGGGGGAACAGGUGCUGCAACGUUUUUUUAGUUCAUUCUCGGCAGAGGAGGAUUUUUGGGGGGGAGCUGCUGAACGUUUUCUUCUAGAGAAGUUUGAAAGAUGUUUACUUUGCUGGGCAUUGGAUGAAUGAAAGAAGCAAUUUUCUUUUUUUUAUUUUNUUAUUUUUAUUGCAAUUUUGAUUGAAGCAUUUUCUCAUUUCUUGCUGGAACGGUAAAGAUGUUUAUUUACAAUUAGAAGUUACGUUUUCUCUAUUUCCAUUGAAUGCAUAAGUGUUGUGGUUGAUGCUGGAGAUUUUUUUCAUUUUAG
RNAcentral lists this long non-coding RNA (346 nucleotides) under Vigna radiata. Its description in RNAcentral is "long non-coding RNA (VRAD_LNC008072)". The record is from RNAcentral. Lineage: Eukaryota; Viridiplantae; Streptophyta; Magnoliopsida; Fabales; Fabaceae.